AUUGAACGCUGGCGGAAUGCUUUACACAUGCAAGUCGAACGGCAGCACGGACUUCGGUCUGGUGGCGAGUGGCGAACGGGUGAGUAAUGUAUCGGAACGUGCUCAGUCGUGGGGGAUAACGUAGUGAAAAUUACGCUAAUACCGCAUACGAUCUAUGGAUGAAAGCGGGGGAUCGCAAGACCUCGCGCGAUUGGAGCGGCAGAUAUUAGAUUAGGUAGUUGGUGGGAUAAAGGCCCACCAAGCCAACGAUCUGUAGCUGGUCUGAGAGGACGACCAGCCACACUGGAACUGAGACACGGUCCAGACGCCUAAGGGAGGCAGCAGUGGGGAAUUUUGGACAAUGGGCGAAAGCCUGAUCCAGCCAUUCCGCGUGCAGGAUGAAGGCCCUCGGGUUGUAAACUGCUUUUGUACAGAACGAAAAGGUUUCUACUAAUACUAGGAGCUCAUGACGGUACUGUAAGAAUAAGCACCGGCUAACUACGUGCCAGCCGCCGCAGUAA
Molecule: ribosomal RNA, 500 nt
Filed under: uncultured bacterium
Lineage: Bacteria
Description: partial 16S ribosomal RNA
Rfam family: Bacterial small subunit ribosomal RNA
Source: RNAcentral